Molecule: ribosomal RNA, 301 nt
Filed under: uncultured bacterium
Lineage: Bacteria
Description: partial 16S ribosomal RNA
Rfam family: Bacterial small subunit ribosomal RNA
Source: RNAcentral
CAGUCGCCGCGGUAACACGUAGGUGGCAAGCGUUGUCCGGAAUUAUUGGGCGUAAAGGGCUCGCAGGCGGUUUCUUAAGUCUGAUGUGAAAGCCCCCGGCUCAACCGGGGAGGGUCAUUGGAAACUGGGAAACUUGAGUGCAGAAGAGGAGAGUAGAAUUCCACGUGUAGCGGUGAAAUGCGUAGAGAUGUGGAGGAACACCAGUGGCGAAGGCGACUCUCCGGUCUGUAACUGACGCUGAGGAGCGAAAGCGUGGGGAGCGAACAGAAUUAGAUACCCGCGUAGUCCCUGUCUCUUAUAA